Papaver somniferum (opium poppy) is the source of this 4258-nucleotide RNA transcript. It is a transcript of the gene named protein PAIR1-like, with no coding region annotated. The transcript has 13 exons. Lineage: Eukaryota; Viridiplantae; Streptophyta; Magnoliopsida; Ranunculales; Papaveraceae. The record is from RefSeq and is a predicted model, not a curated record.
CAGAAACAACUUCCAUUCUCACAAACUCAUCCCUACACGGCUACACAUUCAAAUUUCAAAUUUCUCUGAAACUUCAUUCUUCUAGAUCUGAAUGAUUUAUUCUUCUUCUUCAUCUCUAUUUAGAUUUAUCGAUCUCUAAUUAAACGCUUGAAAUGAAGUUAAAGAUAAACAAAGCCUGUGAUUUAAAUUCCAUUUCAGUUCUUCCUCCUCAUUCCAGAAGACCAAAUGGAAUCACAUCUGGAAGUGAUUCUUCGAUUUUUGGUAGAAGUCAGCUUCGAUCUCAACAACCUUCACAAGGAAUGUCAUCUCAACUUUCUCAAUUGAUGUCAUCUCAGCUCUCUCAAAACUCUAUUGAUAACAUUAUUAAUAACGAACAGAGAUUUGCUUCUCAAGAAAGAGAGAAUUCUGCAAAGAGGAUUUCUUGUUUAGCACCGAAUUCUCUUGCAAGAGAAGAGACUCAGAUGCCGAAUUCAAGAUCUUCAAACAAUUAUAAGCCUAGAUGGGGAUCUGCUCCUCCUCCUGUUACAGAUCAUCAUAGAUGUCAGGUUAGUGAUGAACUGGAACACAGGAUUGGACAGAUUGAGACUACGCAGAAUCGUCAUGGGAUGAUCCUUGAAUCUAUACAGGGCGACGUCAUGCAAGUAAAGAAGCAUAUGCAAGAGUGCGCAUUGGACAUUGAAGGUAUAAAGCAGAAAUUGGCAGGCCAUGAUAACUCAUUGCAGCUAGUGCUCAAGGGAGAGGAAGAUAUCAAAAAUACCCUCGAUGAAAGCUUCAAAUCCUUUCCUGUUCAGCUCAGAAAGGAAGUACACCAAGAUAUUAUCUCUGCAAUUUCAACAUUUCAGAAUCACAACGAAAAACAGAUGGUCAAGUUAACAACUGAACUUUCUGGAGCAGUGAAGGAAAUAACUGGUUUUCUGCAGCCUUUGGACAAUAAUGAAUCGGUUCCCAGUAUGCUCAAACUGAAAGAGAGAGAGUGCCACCCUGUUCGAUCUCAAAACAUGGAACCUCCAAUGAAUAGUGCCGUCUUGCCUCAAAGAGUAAAUACAAGAAGUAAGCGUAAACCAGAGAAAAAAGCGGAAACUCGGCGAUCGUCAAAACUGAAACCAGAUUCAUUUGCUAAUGCACAUCGAAGUAAAAUUAACGUACCAGAGGAAAUUCCUCUUAUAAACCUGGAUGAAGAAUGGAGGCAGAAUAAUGAAUGGGAUGCAGAGCUCGAUGGUGGUUUUGCCUGCUUACUUGGAGAAAUAGAAACAGGUGUUGGAAGCAGGUUCUUUGAUGAAUCUCAGGUAGAAACUGAUCAGAUUCUUAAGAAAGCUAGAAGAAGAAGCAGAAAAGUUAGCAGUGUUAUAGUUCUAAAUUAAUGGAUAGAAAGAGAUAGAGAAGCAACACGUAAUGGCAAAGAUAUUUUGGUGCAGAUUCAUAGUAGUAUGUGAUUAGACCAUGAACUGAACUUCACAUCAGGUAAACAUGUGCAGCUCUGCAAAAAAGUAACAGAAAUGGAGUACUAUACCUCCCCAUGUCCCUACAGAUAAGAACUGAGUGUUAUGGUUAGGUGGUUGGUGCCCUAACUCUUUUUUAUCAUGUUACAUUGUUUGUCUCCUUAGUGCAGCAAUUAGUAAAUAAUGGACCCUGUCAGUUUAACUUUUUACCCAUUUUGAUCAGAUACUGAGAAAGUGGGAUCUGUACCAAAAACUUAUAGUUGGAAAUAGAAUUCAUGAAAGCUUUACAACUACUACUUAGGAACAUAACUAGCUCCAGCUUUUUCAAAGUGAUUGAGAUUUUUUAACCCAGGUUAAAAGCUCUCAUUAUACAUGUGUUAAUUUAGUUGAAUUCUCUGGAUUUGGACAAACUGAAAUACAAUAUCCGUUCUGGUAGAAUUGCACUUGCUUGCACACACAUCCCUCUUUCCAUAAAGGCGGGUAACGAAAGUAUUUGUCUCAUUUUGACAGAUGCAGAUACUUAGAUAUGAAAAUUGUGUUAGUAUCGCUUUCUUAACUUUCGGUUAUUCCUUUUUUUCUUGUUAAUUAGAAGAUCCCAAUUUAGUCUAUUAUGGAGUUCUUUCUUUUGAAAUUAUUUUUUCUAAAGAAAAAAAACAUUAUUAACGAAUCUGUAUAUCACUAAAUGGGAAAUGGACUUUAUUUCCCACUACCAGCGGUGUUCAUUGGAAAAGGGGAAGAAAAAAAGAUAACCAGUCUUUUACGUUUUUCCAACUAACCCAUUAUUCACCAGUUAGUGUUGGCAUGGGCCUAUACUAACAUGAAAUACAUGAUCACUGUCUGCACCAGAAAAAUUGUUUUACAGUUUUCAUUGUCCUUGUUAUAAUGAGUCUUGAAUGUGAGUCAUCUGAUUCAUGAUCAUUUUUUAAUUAUGGGACAUCAAGACCUACAAAUCUAUAUCUGUAUUCGCUACAAAUCACUAAUCUACAGGGGAUCUAAUCUAGAUGUACUAAUCAUUUGAUUUGUACCAAACUUUAGGUCAAAAUACUCAAUGUCUUAACGGGCCCUCCACGGUUGUCCCACAUGACAUCUUUUUUGGCCCGUUGGAGUUAUUGGAUUUCUGUUUGCCCGUCAUCAUACUGUUAUUUUUUCUUCGUUUCUUUACUUUUUUAUAUAUUUUUUUUAGUGUUUGUAAUUAUGAUGAGUUCAUAACUGCUGAGAAGAAAGAGGUAUUAGAAUACUAGAAACGAUCUUUAUUUACUUUACCCAAUUAAUUGGAUAAUGAAUAGUUUCAAUGACAAUUCUGUCUUCUUAUGUAGUUUAAGGACACAAAACAGUUCCCAAAUCCUAGAAAAAUGUACUACAGUCGUCUACAGCACACUUGUAGUAUUUUAUUUCUAAAGUGUGAGGCAAGGUUAAGGAAUUUAGUAUAGUAUCAUAUAAAAUUCGGAAUUCAUAUUCUACUACCUUUGUCUUAUGUUCUAAGGUCAUGGUUUCUGGUUAUAGGAUAUAUAGAUCAACAAGACCUACUUCCAGAUAGAACAAGAUUUAGUAUAUAAAACCAGGAUCAUAGUUGUAGAAAAAUAACCUUAUGUUUUUGUCUUACGUAUUAUUUAUUUUAGUUAAACUAGUUUAACCUUAGUGACUCAUAAUUCCACUCAUUUAGUACAAAUUGAUACUAAAAGUGUAAGACAUUUUUCCUUAUCUUCCUCCAAGAGAGAUGGCUGCAUUUUCCUUGCAUUCGUUCGGUUUGAGAAAAACUUUUAGUAGGUAUUUUGGGCAUCACAAAGGAUUGAGCUGUGGUUUUUAAAGUAAACGAUUCUUUGACAGAUAUUAGAAUUUAGAACCUUCUUUAUCUUGGAUUCUUUUCGUCAUAUCUAUUGUAUCUUAGUUGCAACUGUUCACAGUGAAAAGACCUGUUGAUGUGCUUCUUUUAUUGCAAACAACUGCUAAAAAUAGAUUCAUCAACGUCUAUUAAGUCCAAUAAAAAUUUACAACGGCUGGUUACAUCCUACUGUAAACGAAAGUCUUGCAACUUACUUGCCGACAUAUAAUCAUGAUUUAUCCCUUAAGUCUAAGUUUUAUUGCCUUUCGUUGCAUUCCCACUAAUUGAUAGAUUACAAUUAUUAUUAUAUUAAGUUCUUCUUUUUUAAAAUUAAGCGACUAUUUGAUAAGUUAAUUACUAACGUUUCUUUCUUUGUGAAUUAAAAUUCCAAUCGUAGCUAACAAGCAAGUACAAGUUGUUGUUUACUUGGACUAGUGAACAAUCUACCAGAUUAAUGGUUGUUGGGCAGGCAAACUGAUUUCUUUCUAGAUUACAUAAACAACAAGGUGUGGAGGAAAUAACAACCUAGAAAGUAGCUAUAUAGGCAUGGAAUGAAAAGGAUGGAAUAUGACAUUUUCGGACGGUUCAACAUUGUAAUCACAUUUCAGGCCACCAUUGAUUCCAUAGAAGACUUGGAUCUUUAUGGGAUGGGUUGUUGAACCCGUUUGGAAAAUGAAGGUCCUAAAAAUAUCAUGGCUAACCAAUGGCAGGGCGACACAUAAUCAGUAGAAACUCUGUGCAAGCCAUUUUAUUACACCCUUUGGAGUUCGGAGUUACUGACCGGGGUAUAUUUGGAGGGAGUGUUUAAAUGCUGUUGACGUGAAGAAUCUCAACAACUGCAUAUGCAGUCCGUUUUGGAGGUACCCUUUCGUCUAAAGUUCCGACAAGAACUGAUUAUCUGACUCAUGUUUUUCCAUUUAUUAUAUCUUGUGACCAACCAUUUAUUAAGGGGCAGGACAACUAUUUACAAAAAGAACCCAGACGAAUAGUGGUCGGA